UACGGGGGGGGCAAGCGUUGUUCGGAAUUACUGGGCGUAAAGGGCUCGUAGGUGGCCAACUAAGUCAGACGUGAAAUCCCUCGGCUUAACCGGGGAACUGCGUCUGAUACUGGAUGGCCUGAGUUCGGGAGAGGGAUGCGGAAUUCCAGGUGUAGCGGUGAAAUGCGCAGAUAUCAGGAGGAACACCGAUGGCGAAGGCAGGUCUCUGGGCAUUAACUGACGCUGAGGAGCGAAAGCAUGGGGAGCGAACAGG
This 253-nucleotide ribosomal RNA is filed under the name uncultured bacterium. Its description in RNAcentral is "partial 16S ribosomal RNA". It matches the Rfam family "Bacterial small subunit ribosomal RNA", at positions 524 to 776 of the family's 1533-position model. The record is from RNAcentral.